ACGACCUUACUUGAACAGGAUCUGUUCUAUAGGCUCGUACCUCUGUAUCCUUUAGCACAAAGGAGACAGGAUCUCAAGUCUGGUUGACGAAUCAUGACCUUGCGACCAGAGCGUGAUUACCAGCUUCCUGGUCCUUGUCCCGGACCAGACAGCAGUAGAGGAUCGUUCUUAGCCAGUGCUCUGGCUGGGAUGGUCACAAGGUUGUCCGACAGACU
Molecule: small nucleolar RNA, 215 nt
Filed under: Corchorus capsularis
Lineage: Eukaryota; Viridiplantae; Streptophyta; Magnoliopsida; Malvales; Malvaceae
Description: snoRNA Plant_U3
Rfam family: Plant small nucleolar RNA U3
About the family: Small nucleolar RNAs (snoRNAs) are involved in the processing and modification of rRNA in the nucleolus. There are two main classes of snoRNAs: the box C/D class, and the box H/ACA class.
Source: Rfam by way of RNAcentral